Molecule: ribosomal RNA, 460 nt
Filed under: uncultured bacterium
Lineage: Bacteria
Description: partial 16S ribosomal RNA
Rfam family: Bacterial small subunit ribosomal RNA
Source: RNAcentral
CCUACGGGAGGCAGCAGUGAGGAAUAUUGGUCAAUGGACGCAAGUCUGAACCAGCCAAGUAGCGUGAAGGAUGACUGCCCUAUGGGUUGUAAACUUCUUUUAUGAAGGGAUAAAACGAGGCACGUGUGCCUUAUUGCAUGUACUUUAUGAAUAAGGAUCGGCUAAUUCCGUGCCAGCAGCCGCGGUAAUACGGAGGAUCCGGGCGUUAUCCGGAUUUAUUGGGUUUAAAGGGAGCGUAGAUGGGUUGUUAAGUCAGUUGUGAAAGUUUGCGGCUCAACCGUAAAAUUGCAAUUGAGACUGGCAGUCUUGAGUACAGUUGAGGUAGGCGGAAUUCGUGGUGUAGCGGUGAAAUGCUUAGAUAGCACGAAGAACCCCGAUUGCGAAGGCAGCUUACUAAACUGUGACUGACAUUGAGGCUCGAAAGUGUGGGUAUCAAACAGGAUUAGAUACCCGAGUAGUC